UACGGGAGGCAGCAGUGGGAAUAUUGGACAAUGGGCGAAAGCCUGAUCCAGCCAUGCCGCGUGUGUGAAGAAGGCCUUUUGGUUGUAAAGCACUUUAAGCGAGGAGGAGGCUACUUGGAUUAAUACUCUAGGAUAGUGGACGUUACUCGCAGAAUAAGCACCGGCUAACUCUGUGCCAGCAGCCGCGGUAAU
Molecule: ribosomal RNA, 192 nt
Filed under: uncultured Acinetobacter sp.
Lineage: Bacteria; Pseudomonadati; Pseudomonadota; Gammaproteobacteria; Moraxellales; Moraxellaceae
Description: partial 16S ribosomal RNA
Rfam family: Bacterial small subunit ribosomal RNA
Source: RNAcentral